CCUACGGGAGGCUGCAGUGAGGAAUAUUGGUCAAUGGCCGAGAGGCUGAACCAGCCAAGUCGCGUGAGGGAAGACGGCCCUACGGGUUGUAAACCUCUUUUGUCGGGGAGCAAAGCGAGUCACGUGUGACUCAUUGAGAGUACCCGAAGAAAAAGCAUCGGCUAACUCCGGGCCAGCAGCCGCGGUAAUACGGAGGAUGCGAGCGUUAUCCGGAUUUAUUGGGUUUAAAGGGUGCGCAGGCGGAGGUGCAAGUCAGCGGUCAAAUUUCGGGGCUCAACCCCGUACUGCCGUUGAAACUGAAGCCCUUGAGUGCGCGAGAAGUAUGCGGAAUGCGUGGUGUAGCGGUGAAAUGCAUAGAUAUCACGCAGAACUCCGAUUGCGAAGGCAGCAUACCGGCGCGCAACUGACGCUCAUGCACGAAAGCGUGGGUAUCGAACAGGAUUAGAUACCCUUGUAGUC
RNAcentral lists this ribosomal RNA (459 nucleotides) under uncultured bacterium. RNAcentral describes it as "partial 16S ribosomal RNA". It matches the Rfam family "Bacterial small subunit ribosomal RNA", at positions 338 to 795 of the family's 1533-position model. The record is from RNAcentral.